CUUAUCCUUACCAUCGAUUCCGCUACCUCUACGGGAGGCAGCAGUGGGGAAUAUUGGACAAUGGGCGCAAGCCUGAUCCAGCCAUGCCGCGUGUGUGAAGAAGGUCUUCGGAUUGUAAAGCACUUUAAGUUGGGAGGAAGGGCAGUAAGCGAAUACCUUGCUUUUGACUUACCCACAGAAUACACCGCACU
Molecule: ribosomal RNA, 191 nt
Filed under: uncultured Pseudomonas sp.
Lineage: Bacteria; Pseudomonadati; Pseudomonadota; Gammaproteobacteria; Pseudomonadales; Pseudomonadaceae
Description: partial 16S ribosomal RNA
Rfam family: Bacterial small subunit ribosomal RNA
Source: RNAcentral